Molecule: long non-coding RNA, 2223 nt
Filed under: Triticum aestivum (bread wheat)
Lineage: Eukaryota; Viridiplantae; Streptophyta; Magnoliopsida; Poales; Poaceae
Description: long non-coding RNA (TAES_LNC002912)
Source: RNAcentral
UUAAUGUGUUUCAACCUGAAAAUUUGCACACAUGUACAUUAUGUAUCUAGGUAUAUGUGUGUUUAUUUUCAGAAUUUUUUGAAACUGAAAAGUUUGAAUUUUGAAGUUAUUGAAUAAAGACGUCCAUGGAGCUCGGUCUCCAUUUGUCAUUUUUGGGUCUGAAGCUAUCAUAAUUGUACUAUUUUAAGAUGACUACAAAUUGCCGGAAUUAAUAUAUGUCACAACCCGCUGAUCAUGAACAUCAAGCAACUCCUACCCAUGUCCUAAACAUGGAUAUUACAAAGAAAGGUACGACAUGGUAACCAACACGGGCAACAAGAUAGUAUAAUCCUUCAACAUAAGUAAAACAUAAGAUAGGGAAUUCAUGAUGCUUGCCUUCCUGGUCAACGUCCUGGUGAAGCUACGGAUCGAACUCGUAAUACCCCUCAUUACUGGACUCUAUUGAAACGAUCAAGAAACCCUGGAAAAGAACCAAACGGAGGAAAAUCAAUAUUCAUGAAUUUCCAGAAUGUGUACAGUGCAUGAAUUGUAUGCGAUGUCAUCCAGAAAGUUGAAAAUGAAGCUACUGAAAUUGGGAAUAACAUUUUCUUAGAGUCCUAGAAUGCAAGUUAUGAAUUUUUAAAGAUUUAAAGACAUUUUGUUAAAGUGCAUCUUCCUUUAUUUCUAAGCAACAAUACUUACUAAGCUUAUAUAUGUCUGUUCCUUAGAAAGGGGAUAUGGAGUAGUACAAGAAAGGGGAUCCAGGAGCAACCAACACAUAUAAGCUUAGUACUACUCCAAACCAAACUAGAGUGAUUUUGUUAUGUAUUUUACAAGUUCAACUCUGAGAUCUUACACUGAUACCCUGUGUAAUACGAGUUGACAAAUCAUGCAUCACACCUUGUUUAGAAUUUGUUUUUUUCCAAAAUAAGUUUUUCAACUGAUAAUGCUAUAUUAGUUCUUCAUAGAUGAACAAAAAGUAAAAACAUAUAUGUUCUUUCGAGCAUUAACAAUCAAGUUGUUUCAUACUAUGUGGUUUAUAGUCUCAUUCUCAUCUCUUAUAUUUUUGAUUAAUUAAGCAGGGUGUGUUCUCUGGCUUCUUUAAUGAAGGCCAAUUUAUUCUCAUCUAAUAUUAUGUAUGUAUAUGUGUGCUCUCAGUGAUGGAUAGUUUGGUGAUAUCGUGCCUGUAUCCAGAUGAUGCACUCUCAUAUUAGCUGCAAUCAGAUUUUUUUAACUGUCCAUAUAAUCUCUGGCAGAUCUGCAAUCACCAAGGUACUCACAGAAAUAUCUAUCUACGUACUAUCUAACUGAUCAUGCUGGAGUGGAGCUGCUGCUUUCAUACUUUAGCUUAUUUACAUACUUUCUGAUUCAAAGGUCCGCUGUUUGUUUUAUCUGCUACUUUGUCUUUCUAAACUGGUGAUGAUCAAUGCUGAAAAUACUUUAUGAGUCUGUAUACAUAUUGCAAGUCAACGGGUUGAGCAUUUUUAUGUGAUUUUCUGUCUGACUGUGUGACAAGCAAGUAAAUUAAACAAUGUGGAAUAUGACCGUGUUUUUUCAUAGCAAAUCAAUCUCUCUUUCUAUGAUCUACAGGCAGGUCAUAGCUAACAUCAUCAAGCAUCAACAACAAGCAACAAGCAGCCAGCAGCAAAGAAGGGACAGGAGCAAAGCAGCCAGCAGCAAAGAAGGGACAUAUGCAAAGCAACCAGUGGCAGCAAACAGCAAACAACAUCAGCAGCCAGAAACAUGCAGAGGCGAUUUCUCACCAUGUUGUUAGUGGCAAGGUCGGACGGAGCAGAGCAACGAGCUCGGACAGCGACAAUGACGGUCAACGUCAGGGAAGAAGUAGGAGGGACCCGCGGCUUCGAGUCCAUGGUCCAGAGGAGAUGCGGAUAACACGGAGCCCGUCACGGUCCCUGGAGUUGUUUGGUGAGGAGGAUAACCGCGGCGCCGCAGUGGCGGCCGACGGAACCGACGAAGAUGGCCUCGGUCCAAGAGGCUGCUGCACGUCGGUGCCCGGAAUCACCAUUAAAGGAACAGCAGGAGUAACAAUGGAGCUAGGGGAACUACCUAGGAGCAAGAACGCACCGGAAAACAAGGUGGUUCACGGCGGCGUCCAGCGGGCGUGCAUGUCAGAGCCGGAGGCAUGGACGUCGAUCCGAACUGAGGGCUAGCGUAUCCCGCCGAUUCCUGCGGCUGGUGUUGCAAUGGCGACCGACGCCCUGAGCGAGCUAGACGAGAAAGGGG